This 253-nucleotide ribosomal RNA is filed under the name uncultured bacterium. Its description in RNAcentral is "partial 16S ribosomal RNA". It matches the Rfam family "Bacterial small subunit ribosomal RNA", at positions 524 to 776 of the family's 1533-position model. The record is from RNAcentral.
CACGUAGGUGGCAAGCGUUGUCCGGAUUUACUGGGUGUAAAGGGCGUGUAGCCGGGCUGACAAGUCAGAUGUGAAAUCCGGGGGCUCAACCCCCGAACUGCAUUUGAAACUGUUGGUCUUGAGUAUCGGAGAGGCAGGCGGAAUUCCUAGUGUAGCGGUGAAAUGCGUAGAUAUUAGGAGGAACACCAGUGGCGAAGGCGGCCUGCUGGACGACAACUGACGUUGAGGCCCGAAAGCGUGGGGAGCAAACAGG